AUGAAUGCAAUGUCUUGGAAUUGCAGAGGAGCAGGAAAAAAAGGAAUGACUACCUGCUUCUCUGAUUUAAUAAGAGAUCAUUCCCUAGACUUUAUAGGUCUGCAAGAAACUAUGAAGAAAAAAUUCUCUCCUAAAUUCUUAAGAGAGGUGGACCCCUUGGAUAGAUACACCUGGAACUGGACCCCUUCUAUUGGCAAGUCAGGUGGCAUCCUGUGUGGUAUCAAGAAAGAAAAUCUUGACAUUAUAUCCUGGGUACUUGGCAGCUUCCUUAUUCAAGCUAAUAUAUAUGAUAUUAAAAAAGUGUGUCUGGGCUCUCGUAGUAGUCUAUGGGGCAGCUCAGGAUGA
This 345-nucleotide ribosomal RNA is filed under the name Triticum aestivum (bread wheat). RNAcentral describes it as "partial small subunit ribosomal RNA". The record is from RNAcentral. Lineage: Eukaryota; Viridiplantae; Streptophyta; Magnoliopsida; Poales; Poaceae.